RNAcentral lists this ribosomal RNA (253 nucleotides) under uncultured bacterium. RNAcentral describes it as "partial 16S ribosomal RNA". It matches the Rfam family "Bacterial small subunit ribosomal RNA", at positions 524 to 776 of the family's 1533-position model. The record is from RNAcentral.
UACGGAGGGUGCAAGCGUUAUCCGGAUUCACUGGGUUUAAAGGGUGCGUAGGCGGGCCUGUAAGUCAGUGGUGAAAUCUUCCCGCUUAACGGGAAAACUGCCAUUGAUACUAUAGGUCUUGAAUUCAGUUGAGGUGGGCGGAAUGUGUCGUGUAGCGGUGAAAUGCUUAGAUAUGACACAGAACACCGAUUGCGAAGGCAGCUCGCUAAACUGACAUUGACGCUGAGGCACGAAAGCGUGGGGAUCAAACAGG